UUAUAAUAUCUAUUCAGCUUUUUCACAGCCUUGCUUCCUUCACCAUUGAAUUCCUUCGCUGUACAACCAAUCGUGUUAGAAAUUCUGCUCCUGAUGAUUCAAAUCUAAUUCCAGCUUGCUCUCCCACAGCAAGCGAAAAAAGCCACAGCGGUCCAAUAAUUGGCCAUGCACGAGGUUGUUGGAGUGGCAAUAGUGCGUGACCAUACCCAAUGAGUGCCCUCCACUCUUCGCAUCUCUGCCAACUGUCAUAAUUAUCAAUAAAUAAAUUUUCCUGGAAUGUAACGCGGUGGAAGCAAGGAGUUCAUUAGUACAUUUGCGGCAGUAAUGUAAUGUGAUUAUGCUGUUUCGGACUGUGGUAUGUAUUGAAACAGAAAUGAUGCACUCACAGCCCAUCAUGAGAAAUGAAGCCGGAAUUUAUUAGCAUCAA
Long non-coding RNA from Populus nigra (black poplar), 427 nucleotides. RefSeq lists it as uncharacterized. NCBI's taxonomy places the organism in Eukaryota, Viridiplantae, Streptophyta, Magnoliopsida, Malpighiales, Salicaceae. The transcript has 3 exons. The record is from RefSeq and is a predicted model, not a curated record.